GCGCAAGUGGUGGAAUGGUAGACACGCUGGUUUUAGGCACCAGUGGCGAAAGCCGUGGAGGUUCGAGUCCUCUCUUGCGUACCA
This 84-nucleotide transfer RNA is filed under the name bacterium DOLZORAL124_38_8. RNAcentral describes it as "tRNA-Leu". It matches the Rfam family "tRNA". Rfam says of the family: Transfer RNA (tRNA) molecules are approximately 80 nucleotides in length. Their secondary structure includes four short double-helical elements and three loops (D, anti-codon, and T loops). Further hydrogen bonds mediate the characteristic L-shaped molecular structure. tRNAs have two regions of fundamental functional importance: the anti-codon, which is responsible for specific mRNA codon recognition, and the 3' end, to which the tRNAs corresponding amino acid is attached (by aminoacyl-tRNA synthetases). tRNAs cope with the degeneracy of the genetic code in two manners: having more than one tRNA (with a specific anti-codon) for a particular amino acid; and 'wobble' base-pairing, i.e. permitting non-standard base-pairing at the 3rd anti-codon position. The record is from RNAcentral.